UUGGAGGCUAGGCAGGGUGGGUAGCGGACACCUGUUGCCAGCAAUCCGCUUCAGCUGGAGCCGAAGCCUGAGGGCGGCGAUAAGACAAUCCAGGGCCCAUUGCCCGAGCGUCGAAGCCCAGCCCCUUGGGAUCUCGGCACGGCUAACCCAGCCAGGGCCGGAAGGCAGCAACUGUAUGCUUGUGUCGCGGUGCUUAAGGGUACCUGGGUGGAGCAACGGCAGUGGAAAACCUUGCUUGUUGACUCGCCCACCGAUGGCGUGCCUCCUU
This 268-nucleotide signal recognition particle RNA is filed under the name Candidatus Aenigmatarchaeota archaeon. RNAcentral describes it as "signal recognition particle sRNA". It matches the Rfam family "Archaeal signal recognition particle RNA". Lineage: Archaea; Nanobdellati; Candidatus Aenigmatarchaeota. The record is from RNAcentral.